AACCUAGUUUGGCUAGCUGGAGUGGCUAGCCAAGUUUGGCUAGUGAUGGGGUAAUUUGGAGAGCUAGAUGGCUUGGCUAGUUAGAUGGCUAGUAUGUUGGAAUAUCCAAAUUUUAAUUUAACGAGUGAUUUGGCUAGUCUCCUGAAGAUGCUCUUAGUGAGUUAUGCUUUAAUGUGCCUAGGCCGUGUCGUGUUCGUCCAAUCCGGAUGUACAUGCAUGCAUAGGAUAUCCUCCCUGGUCGUGUUAGUACUGCAUCAGCAAGCAACAACAUGCCACGAUCAAGCUCAGCUGCUGCUGCUGCCGCCAUUCAGAUGAUGACCAACAUGAUGGCAGGAGCGGAUCUAAACAAAACAUCCAUUGGUGUCAUCUCCAUUAAAUUAUAAAAUCAUCAAUUCAUUUAUGUGCUAACAAACAUACAUUCUAAUGGAGAUUACUAAAAUUCAUUGGUGUCACAGGACACCACAAAAAGGGCCUGGAUCCGCCCCUGCAUGAUGGUAGAGUGGUAGAACUUUUGGUUGGGUGGUGAACUGGUGAUGUGGUUGGCUUCUUAUAUUUGGCCUAAAAAGAAGCAUUUGUGCUGGUUGCAAUUA
Long non-coding RNA from Zea mays, 590 nucleotides. RefSeq lists it as uncharacterized. The transcript has a single exon. NCBI's taxonomy places the organism in Eukaryota, Viridiplantae, Streptophyta, Magnoliopsida, Poales, Poaceae. The record is from RefSeq and is marked validated.